UGGUAAUACCGGAUGCUCCGCUCCAUCGCAUGGUGGGGUGGGAAAUGCUUUUGCGGCAUGGGAUGGGGUCGCGUCCUAUCAGCUUGUUGGCGGGGUGAUGGCCCACCAAGGCGUUGACGGGUAGCCGGCCUGAGAGGGUGACCGGCCACAUUGGGACUGAGAUACGGCCCAGACUCCUACGGGAGGCAGCAGUGGGGAAUAUUGCACAAUGGGCGCAAGCCUGAUGCAGCGACGCCGCGUGCGGGAUGGAGGCCUUCGGGUUGUAAACCGCUUUUGUUCAAGGGCAAGGCACGGUUUCGGCCGUGUUGAGUGGAUUGUUCGAAUAAGCACCGGCUAACUACGUGCCAGCAGCCGCGGUAAUACGUAGGGUGCGAGCGUUAUCCGGAUUUAUUGGGCGUAAAGGGCUCGUAGGCGGUUCGUCGCGUCCGGUGUGAAAGUCCAUCGCCUAACGGUGGAUCUGCGCCGGGUACGGGCGGGCUGGAGUGCGGUAGGGGAGACUGGAAUUCCCGGUGUAACGGUGGAAUGUGUAGAUAUCGGAAAAAAAACACC
This 549-nucleotide ribosomal RNA is filed under the name Bifidobacterium animalis subsp. lactis. Its description in RNAcentral is "bacterial SSU rRNA". It matches the Rfam family "Bacterial small subunit ribosomal RNA", at positions 161 to 710 of the family's 1533-position model. Lineage: Bacteria; Bacillati; Actinomycetota; Actinomycetes; Bifidobacteriales; Bifidobacteriaceae. The record is from RNAcentral.